AUUGAACGCUGGCGGCAGGCCUAACACAUGCAAGUCGAGCGGUAGCACAAGAGAGCUUGCUCUCUGGGUGACGAGCGGCGGACGGGUGAGUAAUGUCUGGGAAACUGCCUGAUGGAGGGGGAUAACUACUGGAAACGGUAGCUAAUACCGCAUGACGUCUUCGGACCAAAGUGGGGGACCUUCGGGCCUCACGCCAUCAGAUGUGCCCAGAUGGGAUUAGCUAGUAGGUGGGGUAAUGGCUCACCUAGGCGACGAUCUCUAGCUGGUCUGAGAGGAUGACCAGCCACACUGGAACUGAGACACGGUCCAGACUCCUACGGGAGGCAGCAGUGGGGAAUAUUGCACAAUGGGCGCAAGCCUGAUGCAGCCAUGCCGCGUGUAUGAAGAAGGCCUUCGGGUUGUAAAGUACUUUCAGCGAGGAGGAAGGCAUUGUGGUUAAUAACCACAGUGAU
This 452-nucleotide ribosomal RNA is filed under the name Enterobacteriaceae bacterium AE164. Its description in RNAcentral is "bacterial SSU rRNA". It matches the Rfam family "Bacterial small subunit ribosomal RNA", at positions 30 to 473 of the family's 1533-position model. Lineage: Bacteria; Pseudomonadati; Pseudomonadota; Gammaproteobacteria; Enterobacterales; Enterobacteriaceae. The record is from RNAcentral.